AUGGCAACACCGGAGUUUAUUAGAAGCUCGUGAUGAAAUACGUCUCCUCAGAUCUGAAAUCAGCAGUCUACAAACUACUAUUACAAACCACACAAACCACCCCCAACAUACGGAUGUAGAAAUCGUGUCAAACACACUCCAUCCUGAAGUGGUCAAACCUCAUAUUCAUUGUGACCACGGCGAUUCCCUCCUACGCUAUUUUAUUUUUAUUUUUAUGACUUGUUUCUUCGUGCUCGUUAUUGCUGUAAUCGUUACCAGCCUAAAACAUUAGUUUUAUAAAAAUCUUUGGAGUUGAAUUAUAUUAUCUUAACUGUGGCACUGCAAUGUAAUAUGAGAAAAUUUAUGUUACUGGUAGAACGUUUGAAACCGGAUAGAAA
Molecule: long non-coding RNA, 377 nt
Filed under: Brassica rapa (field mustard)
Lineage: Eukaryota; Viridiplantae; Streptophyta; Magnoliopsida; Brassicales; Brassicaceae
Description: long non-coding RNA (BRAP_LNC001974)
Source: RNAcentral